Molecule: RNA transcript, 650 nt
Organism: Rana temporaria (common frog)
Lineage: Eukaryota; Metazoa; Chordata; Amphibia; Anura; Ranidae
Gene name: cytochrome c oxidase assembly factor 3 homolog, mitochondrial
Exons: 3
Source: RefSeq, a predicted model, not a curated record
CCCGCAAUUCACAGCGGUCUCCGACAAAAUGGCGCCGCCGCAGUGACUGACCAAACUAGUGCGGAACUGCGGAAGCAUAGAAGGGUGACAUCAUCAGUCGGCGCCAAGCUGUAGACAUGGAGACGGGGAGAGGACAGGGCUCUGAGCCGAAAUAUGCACAGAGGAUCGACCCCAAAACGCUGACCCCGGAGCAGCUGGAGCACAUGAGACGAAUAGAGAUGGCUCAGUGGGCAAAGAGGUCGGGGAAUCUGAAAGGCAGAAAUAUAAUUACUGGUCUGGCCAUAGGCGGCCUCGUGCUUGGGAUCUAUGGUUACACCUUUUUCUCUGUAUCACAAGAAAAAUUUCUAGAUGAACUAGAAGAGGAAGCAAAAUUGGCCCGAGCAAGAUAUCCAAAAACAUCUGGCAAUUAAAUAAGCCGAUUGAAGAUUUUUGGGGAAUUCUUAUGAUGCAUGGAUACCACCUUUUAAUGCCACCAUGGAGCCAAAGCAUUUUGCCUAUCUUGUCCUAUAAAACUCCCAUGUCAGAGAUCAAAACUAUUUUGUUUGAUAUAUGGAAUGUUUUCUCAGUGACCAUGUUUUCUGUGUCUGUAUAGUAUGUACUUAAAUUUUUAUGAAUAAAAUAUGUACAGAAGUCAUGCUUGUAGUGACCAG